Molecule: RNA transcript, 7685 nt
Organism: Strongylocentrotus purpuratus (purple sea urchin)
Lineage: Eukaryota; Metazoa; Echinodermata; Echinoidea; Camarodonta; Strongylocentrotidae
Exons: 2
Source: RefSeq, a predicted model, not a curated record
UACAGCAGUGUGUAGUGAGGAUUGUUACAAGAUUUUGUUAAAUAAGGUCUAGUAUUGAAGACUAGUUAAUUCAGUCUGAAUUCAUAGACUACCAAUGGCAAUGUAUUAGGCAUGUACUGCUGUUAUCUAAUGUCAACAGAAGCCCCCUUGUCUUAUAUAACAGAAGCCCCCUUGUUUUAUAGUGCUAAAUGAAAGUACUUUGCAUACAAUGUAUGGGUAUGCAUUCUGUGUUUAGGCACUUGUGUUGUAGAUGUAUCGCAUAUUAUGUGUAGAGGCAGUAUAUCAUCAGUGUUCAAGUGAAUGUCUCAACAGUGAAGUUGCUAGUUGCAACCAUCUUCAAAAGUUUGAUUUCCAGUGAUUGUGGAGCAUUUUACAGACCCGAAUUGGUAAGAACUCACUUAAUAUAAUAGUGGUAGUUAAUGUUGAAUUGUUUUAUGAAGUAAUGUAAGCUUAGGAGAGAAUAUUAGACAUCUUUCUUGUUAUAUAUAGUUUGGAACUUGAAGGGCAAGGAAAGUUAUGUGUGUGCUCUUCCAGUGUACUUAGGAGAUGCGUGCAUUGUACUGUACUCUCUCUCUCUCUCUCUCUUCUCUGUAUCGCUAUCCACCCCUCUCUGAUCUCACCCUUUCUCUCUCUCUUUCUCUCUCUCUCUCUCUCUCUCUUCCCCUCUCUAUCCCUUUCUUCAGCUCUCUAUUCAUGUUUGUUACAGUGCCACUGUGAUGGUGAUGACUGCAUUAUAAUGUAUUUUAAUUAAGACAGGUACUUUCUUAUCUAGUAGGAUAUUAUUCUUUAUACUUGUAGUUGUUUUGUUGCAGCAUAUAUAUGUACAUAGACUGCGUAAUUAGUUAAUUACAUACAUGCAAGUUGACUUAUAUUUCAUUGUCUAGUCAAGGUUUAUAACUUGUUGCUUAUAAAACAAAGAGACAGUUUUGGAGUACAUGUAGUCAGUAUUAUGUAGGUUCAAUCUCUUUAUUAAGCUAUUUUGACAUGAUAUAUAUGCACAUGUAUUGUUGUAGUGUCUCAUAAGUAUGAACAUUAUGUAGUUUGUUUCUCUUUCUGUUGUGUUACAGAUUGUUAUCUGAAGGUUGAGUGACCAUACGACCAGUGAAUAAACGACAGUUCGUGAACUUUAACUGAAUCUUCGUACCUCGUCAUUUCAAUCUUGUGAAUAACAACUUUAGGGUGUUUGUGUAAUCGUCGAAACUCCUCGGUUUACUAGUUGUAAACGGAGGCAGCCACAAUAACAAUCAAGGAUCUGCAUGUGCAUCCAGUUAGCUGAAUGGCUAAGUAGCCUGUGUAUCCAGUUAGCUGAAUGGCAAAGUAGCCUGUGCAUCCAGUUAGCUGAAUAAGAAUCAAGGAUCUGCAUGUGCAUCCAGUAAGCUGAAUGGCAAAGUAGCCAUAGACUUAAACGAAUAGUGAAUUGUAUAAGUUACCAUGGCAACGGCCACUAGUCUCCCUGAUAAGCUCGAGGAAGGGAGCGUUAAAAGUAAGCGCUCCGUGCAAAGCGAAAGAGUUCUUCAAGCGUUCCAUGCUGAACUCCAGAUGAUGGAUCAAGAGGAUGAACUCAAAAGAAUUGAGUUUGCCAGAAAACAAGAAGAAGCAAAUUCAAAAUUGAGAAAACUCAAGCUCACCAAGCAGUUCAAUGAGAGAAUGGCAGAACUUGAAGGAAGCAGGGAUGACAUUGAAUAUUCAGAGACCCAUUCUGUCAAAUUAGAUCUUCCUGAGGAGAAAAUGGAGGACUCCAUCCAGAGAUAUUUGCAAUCCCAAGAUAGUGUAGCACAGCAGAGCCCUCAACAGUCAAGGAGUGAUGUCACUCCUGUGUAUGAAUCAAAUGGGUUGCAAAGGGUAGCUGAAUCACUCGCAGAGGUAGCAAGGUCGAUGGCUAUACAAAGUGCUAGCUCUCAGCAGGUCGCUGUGACCAGUCAGUUGCCGCACAUCGAUCUUCCCGUAUUCAGUGGAGACCCCCUCCAGUAUCCCCUCUGGAAAAAUGCAUUCGUGAGCCUCGUAGACAGGAAUCCAGUUGAUCAUCCUACAAAGCUGCAUUACCUGAAUAACUCUGUGGCUGGAGCACCAAAGAGGUUGGUGCAGCACUAUCUUCUUCUUGGCACUGAGGACGCCUACCACAAAGCAUGUGGAGCACUUGCAGAACGAUACGGAAGCCAGAGCGUAGUGUCUGCUGCCUUCACAAAGAAGUUGAACUCAUGGCCAAGGAUCAGCAACCAAGACUCUACAGGAUUGAGGGAUUUCGCAGACUUCUUGAACCAGGUGGAAGCUGCAAAGGUGACAAUUUCAACACUUAAUAUUUUGGAUUUUCCCCAAGAAAACGUAAAGAUGUUGGAGAAGCUUCCAGCAUACCUCGCACGGAAAUGGCGUGACGAAGUUGACAGGUGGCAACGUCGUGGACUUGGUAGCUAUCCGACAUUCUCAAGAUUUGCAGAAUUCGUCAACGACGCAGCACGCAAGGCCAGCAUUCCAGAGUUGGAGUGCCUGAAGAACCAAGAAUCCAGGCCUAGGCAAUUUCCAGCUGGAAAUAAGGGAUUUGCUGGAAAGUCGCUGUCCACUAGAGCAUUCAAUGGUGGUCAACAAGGCAAGUUCUCAUCGUGUCCCUUUUGCAAUGAAAAGCACCAUCUGGAUGAGUGCAAGGAAUUCGCCAAGAAGCCUCAUCCACUUCGUAAGCACUUCUUCUUCCAGAAGAAACUUUGCAUGGGAUGUGGCAGUGAUGACAGCCACCAGGUAAAGGACUGUCCUCAGAGGAAAACAUGUAAGGAGUGUCAGGGAAGGCACCUCACAUGCCUGCAUCGUCCGCAGAACAGAGAAUAUGAAGGUUCCUCAAAGUGCACCAACGUCUGUUCCUUACCAGACCAGGACGGGAAAGAACACUGCAUGAUUGUGCCUGUGUGGGUACGGCAUGCUAGCAACCCAGGCAACGAGAUCUUACAAUACGCGAUCCUGGAUGACCAAUCCAACGUUGGAUUUGUGUCGAAAGCAUUGUGUGAGAAGAUGCGUGUAGAUGGAACAGAUACCAAUCUUCAAUUGACAACAAUGCACGAGAGUACGCGCAUCAAAACCUCAAGGAUCUGUGGACUUGAAGUGCUGGACUUUAAGAAGGAGCAUGUGGUCACCCUACCAGCAUGCUAUCAGAGGGACGACGUUCCAGCUAGGAGAUCUCAAAUUCCUAAGGGUGAAGUAAUGAAGAGAUGGGCUCAUCUGUCCCCCAUUGCCGACGACCUCAUGCCAUACAAUCCAGCAAUAGAAGUUGGACUUCUCAUCGGCAAUGACUGCCCGAGAGCCAUUAGACCCAGGGACAUCAUCUGCGGUGGAGAAGACGAACCCUACGCUCAGAGAUCCAUUCUGGGAUGGGGUGUCGUUGGGACCGUUUGCAAGUCUGCAAACCAGGAAAUCUUCUGCAAGAAGACAUAUGUCCAGGACGACUACCCUCACUUUGCCUACGCCAAUCGGGCAAAGGAAGUAUUCUCCCCAGAAAGAGUUCUCAACGUGCUGGAGAAGGAUUUCAUUGAAAUGAAUCAGAAGGGAAAGCCCUAUUCCAUCGACGAGAUGAAGUUCAUGAGCAUGUUGGAGAAAGGAGUCAGGAAGAGAGAGGAUGGACACUAUGAGAUGCCCCUACCUCUGAAGUCCAAGGAGAUGUCCCUUCCAUACAACAAGCCCCUCGCCAUCAAGAGAUGGAAUCAAUUGACUGCCAGAUUCAGGAAGAAUCAAAAGUUCCAGGAGGAUUACACCGAGUUCAUGAAGGGUGUGAUCGCUGAUCAUGCGGAAAGGGUGCCGACAGAUAGACUGAAUGCCCAAGAUAGGGUCAACUACAUCCCUCAUACAGGAGUCUACCAUCCUCGGAAGCCAGACAAGAUUCGAGUUGUCUUUGAUUGUUCAGCAGCAUACCAGGGAGUCUCUCUGAAUGAUCACCUCCUACAGGGCCCAAACUCGAUGAAUAGCCUAUUGGGUGUUCUCUGCAGGUUCCGCAAGGAAGAGGUGGCAUGUGCUGUUGAUGUAAAGAGCAUGUUCCACCAGUUCUUCGUGUCUCCAGAGGACAGAGAUUUGCUGCGCUUUCUCUGGUGGGAAGACGGUAACCCGGAAAAGCAAGUCGUGGAGUACCGCAUGACCGUCCAUCUCUUUGGAGCAGCAAGUUCACCCGGUGCAGCCACCUUCGGCCUACGAAAGGCAGCAGAGGAUGGAGAAGAUGAGUUUGGAGCUGACGCUGCUGAAUUCAUCAGGAAGGACUUCUAUGUGGAUGAUGGUUUGACUUCUGUACCUUCCACACAAAUAGCGGUGAAACUUCUGAAGGACAGCCAAGGGAUCUGUGCCAAGGCAGGUCUUAAGCUGCACAAGGUCAUCUCCAAUGACAUUGACGUUCUGAAGAGCUUUCCAAAAGAGGACAGGUCAAAGGAGGUCCAGCAGUUAGAUCUCGACAAGGAUUCACUGUCUCUGGAGAGAGUUCUGGGAGUCGUCUGGCGGAUCCAAAAUGAUGUCUUCAACUUCAUUGUGGAGAUAAAGGAAAGACCCUUCACCAGAAGAGGAGUCUUGUCCACGGUCAGCUCUUUCUACGAUCCAUGUGGUUUCAUCAGUCCUGUGAUGCUGCCUGGGAAGCGAAUCCUGCAGGAGAUGUGUCGCAGUAAUGCCGACUGGGACACUCCAAUGCCAGAAGCACUACGAGCACGCUGGGAGAAUUGGUUGGAGGAUGUACGUAAUCUGGAAGGACUACAGAUUCCAAGAUGUCUCAAACCGAAUGGGUUUGGGAAAAUCAAGCAGGUGGAGCUCCACCACUUCUCAGACGCGAGUGAAGAUGGCUACGGUCAGUGUACGUACGUCAGAUUCAUCAAUGAAGACGACAAUGUUCACUGUGCAUUGGUGAUUGGGAAAUCUCGAGUUACGCCACUGAGGCAGAUCACGAUUCCAAGGUUAGAACUGGCUGCAGCAACCACAUCUGCCAGGAUGAGCUCUUUCGUGAAAGAAGAGCUGAAGUAUCAUGACGCUAAGGACUUCUUCUGGACAGAUAGUCAGGUGGUGCUAGGAUACAUACGGAAUGAAGCCAAGAGAUUCCAUACUUACGUAGCCAACAGGGUACAACAAAUCCGAGACCUGACAGACCCCAAGGACUGGUUCUAUGUUGAUACCAGAGACAACCCAGCCGACGAAGCCUCAAGAGGAAUGUCAGCAAAGCAGCUGACACAUGACAGUCGCUGGCUCAGAGGACCAGAGUUUCUUUGGAGAAACCCUACUCAUCAAGCUGAGCAAACAGAUGCCUACCAGCUUAUGGAAGGUGAUCCUGAAGUGAGGAGAGCCAAUGUUAUGUCAACGCAGGCAACUGCAGCAAACACGAAGUAUCCUGAUCAGUUCAAGUCGAGCCGGCUUGAACCUUUCUCAAGCUGGUAUCGUGCUAAGAAGGCAAUCGCACGCUGUUUGCAACUCAAGGACCGACUUCGAAGAAAGGAAGUCAAGCGAUCUUCAUCAUCAAGCCAAGGAAAUGAAAGGCGGACCCUCCCUCCUCUGACAACAUCUCAGUUAGUGGAGGCAGAAAGGGUAAUUCUCAUGGCUGUUCAGAUGGACCAUUUCAAGGAUGAAAUGGAGGUGCUGAAGAAGCUUGAUGCGGUAGACAAAAUAUGUGACAGAACAGUGGCUCGAUCAAAGAAAGAUGACAUGAAGAGGACCAGCGCCCUGUACAGACUCGAUCCUUACCUCGACGAAGAUGGACUGGUUCGAGUAGGCGGUCGCAUUACCAGAGCCAACAUGUCCCGAGAUGUCAGACAUCCAGUCAUUCUCCCUCGACAUGGACAUAUCAGUCACUUGGUGAUCAGGCACUACCACCAAUGUGUUCAGCAUAUGGGUCGAGGCAUCACUCACAACGAAGUUAGGCAACAUGGAUUUUGGGUGAUUGGAGGAUCAUCAGCAGUCUCGCAGUGCAUUUCUGGCUGUGUGAAAUGCAGAAGUCUGCGAAGGAGGCCACUGCAGCAGAAGAUGGCGGAUCUGCCAGAAGACAGACUGGAACCAACACCUCCGUUCACAUACUCAGCAGUCGAUUACUUCGGACCUUUCCUGGUUAAGGAGCGACGAAGUGAGGUGAAAAGGUAUGGAGUCCUUUUCACUUGUAUGGCAUCAAGGAGUGUGCAUCUAGAGACAGCCAACAGUCUGACCGGAUCCAGCUUCAUAAAUGCCUUGCGGCGAUUUAUGAAUAGACGGGGAGUGGUGCGACAGCUGCGAUCCGACCAGGGAACAACUUUCAUAGGCGCCCGUACCGAGCUGAGACACGCCUUAGCUGAAAUGGACCAGUCUCAAGUGCAAGAAUACCUACUGCAGAACGGAUGUGAUUGGAUACCGUUCAAGAUGAACGUACCUCAUGCAUCUCACAUGGGCGGUGUCUGGGAAAGGCAAAUCCAGACUGUACGUCGAGUUCUAGAACCCCUUCUGCAAACGGUGGGUAGCCAGCUGGACGACGAGGCCUUCCGGACAUUUCUAACAGAGGCAGAGGCAAUCAUAAAUGCAAGGCCUCUGACAACAACGAAUCUGAGCGACUCUGGUGCCCCUGAACCACUGACUCCAAAUCACCUUCUGACAGCCAAGGCGAAGGUGGUUCUUCCUCCACCGGGAGCCUUCCAGCGCGAGGACCUCUAUUCACGCAAGUGGUGGAGGCGGGUUCAGUAUGCAGCCAACGAGUUCUGGGCUAGGUGGAGACGGGAGUACCUCCAGGAGCUGCAGAGCCGCCAGAAGUGGGUUCUUAAACGUCGAAACCUUGAGGUAGGCGACAUCGUCAUCUCAAAGGAGAACGAAGAUGCUCGCGGUCGGUGGCCACUCGCACGCGUAGUCGAUGUCUACCCCAGCAAGGACGGUUGCGUCAGAAAGGUCAAGAUACUGAUAGCAGACGGAACAUUGGACAAUGAGGGAAAGCGUAAACGCCCUCCCGUUGAACUUGAUAGACCUAUCCAGAAGUUGGUACUGUUGUUACCAGUUGAAAAGUAAUUUUGACUGUCACAAGUGAAGACCAGUGUAUAUUCCCCCUCAAGGAGCCUUUGAUAUUAAAUCGCGAACAAUGUUUUCAGCUCAUCUGAACAAUAAGCUAGGAUUAACAUGCGAGUUUCAUAAACAGUUAUGUUUUAUAGUAUUCACCUUUUAAUGUUUUGCAAUGUGAUAGAUGUUGCAGAUUUGUAUUUAUCAUGUACAUGUAUAUUGAUUUUAGGUGUUUGUCUUUAUUUAAAGUGUAAAUGGACAAGCCAUUUAAAGGAGCCAUGUCACUACAGCAGUGUGUAGUGAGGAUUGUUACAAGAUUUUGUUAAAUAAGGUCUAGUAUUGAAGACUAGUUAAUUCAGUCUGAAUUCAUAGACUACCAAUGGCAAUGUAUUAGGCAUGUACUGCUGUUAUCUAAUGUCAACAGAAGCCCCCUUGUCUUAUAUAACAGAAGCCCCCUUGUUUUAUAGUGCUAAAUGAAAGUACUUUGCAUACAAUGUAUGGGUAUGCAUUCUGUGUUUAGGCACUUGUGUUGUAGAUGUAUCGCAUAUUAUGUGUAGAGGCAGUAUAUCAUCAGUGUUCAAGUGAAUGUCUCAACAGUGAAGUUGCUAGUUGCAACCAUCUUCAAAAGUUUGAUUUCCAGUGAUUGUGGAGCAUUUUACAGACCCGAAUUGAUUGUUAUCUGAAGGUUGAGUGACCAUACGACCAGUGAAUAAACGACAGUUCGUGAACUUUAA